RNAcentral lists this ribosomal RNA (893 nucleotides) under uncultured bacterium. RNAcentral's name for it is "bacterial SSU rRNA". It matches the Rfam family "Bacterial small subunit ribosomal RNA", at positions 8 to 916 of the family's 1533-position model. The record is from RNAcentral.
AGAGUUUGAUCAUGGCUCAGGAUGAACGCUGGCGGCGUGCCUAAUACAUGCAAGUCGAGCGAACCACUUCGGUGGUGAGCGGCGAACGGGUGAGUAACACGUAGGUGAUCUGCCCAUCAGACGGGGACAACGAUUGGAAACGAUCGCUAAUACCGGAUAGGACGAAAGUUUAAAGGUGCUUCUGGCACCGCUGAUGGAUGAGCCUGCGGCGCAUUAGCUAGUUGGUAGGGUAAAGGCCUACCAAGGCGACGAUGCGUAGCCGACCUGAGAGGGUGAACGGCCACACUGGGACUGAGACACGGCCCAGACUCCUACGGGAGGCAGCAGUAGGGAAUCUUCGGCAAUGGGCGAAAGCCUGACCGAGCAACGCCGCGUGAAUGAUGAAGGCCUUCGGGUUGUAAAAUUCUGUUAUAAGGGAAGAACGACUUUAGUAGGAAAUGGCUAGAGUGUGACGGUACCUUAUGAGAAAGCCACGGCUAACUACGUGCCAGCAGCCGCGGUAAUACGUAGGUGGCGAGCGUUAUCCGGAAUUAUUGGGCGUAAAGAGCGCGCAGGUGGUUGAUUAAGUCUGAUGUGAAAGCCCACGGCUUAACCGUGGAGGGUCAUUGGAAACUGGUCGACUUGAGUGCAGAAGAGGGAAGUGGAAUUCCAUGUGUAGCGGUGAAAUGCGUAGAGAUAUGGAGGAACACCAGUGGCGAAGGCGGCUUCCUGGUCUGUAACUGACACUGAGGCGCGAAAGCGUGGGGAGCAAACAGGAUUAGAUACCCUGGUAGUCCACGCCGUAAACGAUGAGUGCUAAGUGUUGGGGGUCGAACCUCAGUGCUGAAGUUAACGCAUUAAGCACUCCGCCUGGGGAGUACGGUCGCAAGACUGAAACUCAAAGGAAUUGACGG